RNAcentral lists this ribosomal RNA (253 nucleotides) under uncultured bacterium. Its description in RNAcentral is "partial 16S ribosomal RNA". It matches the Rfam family "Bacterial small subunit ribosomal RNA", at positions 524 to 776 of the family's 1533-position model. The record is from RNAcentral.
UACAGAGGGGGCAAGCGUUGUUCGGAAUUACUGGGCGUAAAGGGCGCGUAGGCGGCCUGUUAAGUCGAACGUGAAAUCCCCGGGCUCAACCCGGGAACUGCGUCCGAUACUGGCAGGCUUGAAUUCGGGAGAGGGAUGUGGAAUUCCAGGUGUAGCGGUGAAAUGCGCAGAUAUCAGGAGGAACACCGGUGGCGAAGGCGGAUCUCUGGGCCGUAACUGACGCUGAGGAGCGAAAGCAUGGGGAGCGAACAGG